AUUUUAUUUGUUUUGUGCUGUUUACAACAACACGCACUGAGACAAUGUAGACAAAUCAGCUCUAAAGAAAUGGAAAGCAUCCAUUCCUCUAAUGAUUAAGUGACAAUGACAGUAAUGGAUAAGAAAACAGAAACGAGAAAAGAACCUUGACAGAGAUGUGCUUUUCUGAGGGGAUACUGAAUAGGGGAUGUAGGAUACUGUAAAAUAUUGUGAAGGCGGGUUUAAAACAUAUGUUCCCAUAUCAUAUAGGAAAUAAGAGCGAUGAAUGCGGUUAAAAGUUUGUUAAAGAGCAACUCAUGAACAAUGUAACAAACACAUGAUCUUCAGAUGUAUUAUUAGCGAUUUUAAUCUUUUCUGACUAAAACAAAAGUUCUGAUAUUCUCUUACCAGUGUAUUUUACAGAUGGAGACAUGAGUGCCGUACUAUGAUGGCUGUUUCAUUCACAUGCUGUAAAAACACAUCCUUCCGCUGACAAAACUUGAUGGUUUACCCAACACUAGUGAGCGAUAACUGAAAUCCAGCCUUUGUACAUGUAUUGUAUUUUAGGGGAGAGGUACAGUAUUUGUGGGAGGUUUACUGGUAGGCUAUUAAUAAGAGACUGGAGAAAAAUUCAAAUCCCAUUUCUACCAUAUUUACUUUGUGCUUUUGUUUCUGUUUCAAUCCUGUAUCCACCCCGUCCUGUCAUUGGCCUGUUACCCAAUGUGUGCACCUGUUCUGUCUAGUCCUUCAUUCAUUUACCUAUGUAUAGCCUGCUAUUUCAUUGUUUCGUUGCAAAGCCUUAUCAUGCAUUUCUAACAAAAAUCCAAGCCUUGUUUUCUAGUUCCUGGUCUGUGUGCAUUAUUUCACAGUUUUAAUCUAACGAUUAACGGAUCGUUCUAGUUUGCUGCCUGUGCUCUGACACCCACUUGGAUCUCUGACAAUGAUUCUCCUUAAUAAAGCACACAGUAGGUUUUACACACUUGUGCGUCCUGCCUCCUAUCACUGCACGUAACACUGGCAAACAAAUAACAUGGAGCAUCUUUUGGUGGACGUCCUCCUCCCCAAGGAUUACGCCAAUGGCUGGUGAUGCAGAUGGUAUUUGAACACAGGGGGUGUGAAUAAAAAAGGACUUGUUCUUUAGCAACAUUAACAACACCUUUUAAGGGGUACUAGGAGUAGUAGUAGAAAUAGGCGUAGGAGUGGUGGUAGGAGCAGUGAUUGGAGUAGUCAUAGUGCGAAGACAUGAUAAUUAAUUAUCUGAAGUAUAGGACUAGUGGCUGAAAGAAAGGGUUCACAAGUUAAUGGAUAAGGGGUCGGAGUAGAGAUGGGAGUACCGUACUGGAUUGAGUAGGGGUUGGAUGGGAAGUCCUGGAGAUAUUCAUCAGUACAGGAGCUGUUCCUGGUAUGAUUCUGAGAAGAGCUCAGGGUUAGUAUUUUUAGUAUGACUAUUUAUGUUAUACCUUUCAUUAUAGAUAGGACAGUGUUUAUUCUUAAUCUGUGUUAAUUCAUGGUUGAUUUUCAGGCCUUUUAUUUCAUUUCUGCCAUUGGCAUUAAGUUGUGGGAAGAAUAGAUAUUGCUGCUGCAUGGAGAAAUGAAGUUUUAUUUAAGUUUGUAGAUGAAGUGUAUGGCUUCAAGGAGAAUCAACAGGUUAGGUGUGUAGGCCAGUAAUUGUACCCAUUGUUUAAACACACUAACACCACCACUGACGCAACACCCAAUAAGAUUCCAGUGUCAUGUCAGUGUUUCUGCUGUUCGGCAUCUGGAAGGAUUAGUGGCAGUGGUUCAUCAAUUGGUAGGGGAAAUGGGUCCGGCAAUGGUUCAGGGACUGGUUCGGGUUGUGGUUCAGGGACUUGUUCGGGUUGUGGGACAGGGAUUGCUUGGGGUUGUGGGUCGGGGAGUGGGAUAGAAGAAAUUGGAACAGUGGUUGUAAUAGUUCCAGGAGUAGUGGUGAGUGUAAUAGUAGUAGUGGUUUGACUAGUUGUAGAAAUAGUUGGAAAAGUAGUGUUAGGAGUAAAUGAAGUAGUAGUAGAUAUUAUGGUUGUAGGGGUAGUUGUAGGAGAAGUGAAGGGAGUAACUGGAGUAGUAGUUGUUUGAGUAGUGGUAGGUGGAAUUGGAGGAGGAGUAGCUGAACUUGUUGCAUCGUAUUGUAUAGGGAUGAUUGGAUUGGUGGUAGAACUAAUUGGAGGACUGGUGGUAGGAGUAACUGAAGGUGCAGUGGAUGGAAAAGUUAUAGGAGUAGUGGUUGGAAUAGUUGAAGGAGCAGUGGUUAUAGUAGGGCUAGGAGUAGUGUUAGGAGUACUUGGAGGAAUCGUGUCACAAAUAGUUGUAGUAGUAGUAGGAGUUGGAGUAGUAGUGGUUGGAGUAGUGUUAGGAGUACUUGGAGGAAUCGUGUCACAAAUAGUUAUAGUAGUAGUAGGAGUUGGAGUAGUAGUGUUUGGAGUAGUGUUAGGAGUACUUGGAGGAAUCGUGUCACAAAUAGUUGUAGUAGUAGUAGGAGUUGGAGUAGUAGUGGUUGGAGUAGUGUUAGGAGUACUUGGAGGAAUCGUGUCACAAAUAGUUAUAGUAGUAGUAGGAGUUGGAGUAGUAGUGUUUGGAGUAGUGUUAGGAGUACUUGGAGGAAUCGUGUCACAAAUAGUUGUAGUAGUAGGAGUUGGAGUAGUAGUGGUAGGAGUAGGGCUAGGAGUACUUGGAGGAAUCGUGUCACAAAUAGUUAUAGUAGUAGUAGGAGUUGGAGUAGUAGUGUUUGGAGUAGUGUUAGGAGUACUUGGAGGAAUCGUGUCACAAAUAGUUGUAGUAGUAGGAGGAGUUGGAGUAGUAGUGUUUGGAGUAGUGGUAGGAGUACUUGGAGGAAUCGUGUCACAAAUAGUUGUAGUAGUAGGAGGAGUUGGAGUAGUAGUGUUUGGAGAAGUGUUAGGAGUACUUGGAGGAAUCGUGCCACAAAUAGUUGUAGUAGUAGGAGUUGGAGUAGUAGUGGUAGGAGUAGGGCUAGGAGUAGUGGUAGAAGUAGUAGGAGUUGGAGUAGUAGUGGUAGGAGUAGGGCUAGGAGUAGUGGUUGGAUGGGAAGUGCUCAUCGGUGCAGGAGCUGAUCCUUGUAUGAC
This is a long non-coding RNA of Ictalurus punctatus (channel catfish), 3077 nucleotides long. NCBI's taxonomy places the organism in Eukaryota, Metazoa, Chordata, Actinopteri, Siluriformes, Ictaluridae. The record is from Ensembl.